GAUGAACGCUGGCGGCGUGCCUAAUACAUGCAAGUCGAGCGAACAGACGAGGAGCUUGCUCCUCUGACGUUAGCGGCGGACGGGUGAGUAACACGUGGAUAACCUACCUAUAAGACUGGGAUAACUUCGUGAAACCUGAGCUAAUACCGUAUAAUAUAUUGAACCGCAUGGUUCAAUAGUGAAAGACGGUUUUGCUGUCACUUAUAGAUGGAUCCGCGCCGCAUUAGCUAGUUGGUAAGGUAACGGCUUACCAAGGCAACGCUGAGUAGCCGAACUGAGAGGGGGAUCGGCCACCCUGGAACUGAGACACGGUCCAGACUCCUACGGGAGGCAGCAGUAGGGAAUCUUCCGCAAUGGGCGAAAGCCUGACGGAGCAACGCCGCGUGAGGGCUGAAGGUCUUCGGAUCGUAAAACUCUGUUAUUAGGGAAGAACAAAUGUGUAAGUAACUAUGAACGUCUUGACGGUACCUAAUCAGAAAGCCACGGCUAACUACGUG
Molecule: ribosomal RNA, 497 nt
Filed under: uncultured bacterium
Lineage: Bacteria
Description: partial 16S ribosomal RNA
Rfam family: Bacterial small subunit ribosomal RNA
Source: RNAcentral